CCACAUGACCUGAUUUUAAUCAGAAGCGUUGGAUUCUCGAAUCGAGAUUCUUGCCGUCCGAUUUUCCCCAAUAAAAGUAUCAUAACUUUUUUCAGACUUCCAUUUUCUAGGGGUUGUUUAUCCGGCCAUCUGCUCUUCUUUGAUCCAUCAUCUAGGCCACCCAGACCAGCUAAAAUGAAAGGGCAAAGGAAUAUGAGGUAUGAACAGACAUUGAAUUCAUCACUUGGCCUUACUGCUCUUAUUAUGCCUUCUUGAAAAGAACUUCUUCUUCUGUAACAUGAUGCAGGUUAUUGUAAGAGGAAAUUAACUUAGGACCCAGCGUCCUUGAAGCAUGAACUCUUGAGGAUGGUUGCACGAUUUCAUCUGGUCGUCGUCUUCCUGUUAAUAUAAGGACCAGUUUUGCUCUUUUCUUCAAUGAACGUUUUGUUCAAUUUUACAACUUUUUAUAUUGCUUUUCUUUUAAUUGGUUUCUUACUUUAUUUCUUAUGUUAUCUUUGUAGGGUGUUCUUGGUAUCUCGGUGAAGAUCAUAUAUACUUGAUUAUUGGGAUGAUGGGAUCCCAAGAGUAAGCAAGUACCUACUACAUUGCUACCAGAUUAUAUCAUCGUCCACCUGCUCAAGGGGGAAGAAGAUUGCCCCAUGUGACUCACAUAGGGGUUAGCAGCAGCUUAAGUUGUAGGUUUUUUUAGGUUAGCGAGGACAAAGGAAACAUAGAUGCAGGAUGGUGGUAUUUUCCUCUAGAAUCCGAAAGGGUGUUGAGGCCGGCCCCUCAAGUUAUAGUGGCAUUGCUCGAUGAAUAGAUGUAAAGAGUGUACUGUCGGUCUUUUGUUCAAUAAUUAAAGUUCUUUGAUUGAAAUGUUUACUUGAAGAAUUUGGAGUUUCA
This is a non-coding RNA of Theobroma cacao (cacao), 882 nucleotides long. The record is from RefSeq and is a predicted model, not a curated record. NCBI's taxonomy places the organism in Eukaryota, Viridiplantae, Streptophyta, Magnoliopsida, Malvales, Malvaceae.